This 375-nucleotide long non-coding RNA is filed under the name Equus asinus (donkey). Its description in RNAcentral is "lncRNA (ENSEASG00005025094.1)". Lineage: Eukaryota; Metazoa; Chordata; Mammalia; Perissodactyla; Equidae. The record is from RNAcentral.
CCACCGCCCAGGACUCCGCAUUCGUCUUCCGUGUCGGCUCCGAGUGGUGGAAGAAACACUAGCAAAUGUUUCUGCUACAAAGGCUUUGGGGCCCGCUGCUUCAUGGACCUUGUCGUCUUCUCCUCGGAGCGCCCAGCACGAGGUCGGCCGAGGGAAGUUACUCAGUGAGUAAGUGUGAUUCGUGUAGCUGUUCAAAAGGGUGUGACAGCCUGGGAGUAGAGAACAAAAUAGAAAUACUGUCCGUGUCCGUCUUCCUUGUCUUUUAUCUCGCUUGCUUUCGGUGGGCUGUAGAAUCCAGCAGCUUUUUCAGAGUAUUCCAAAGUUGAGGUAUCAUUAUGCCUCAUAUUGUCAUGAUCUAAAACAAAUCCCCUUAGA